RNAcentral lists this long non-coding RNA (316 nucleotides) under Ananas comosus (pineapple). Its description in RNAcentral is "long non-coding RNA (ACOM_LNC033453)". The record is from RNAcentral. Lineage: Eukaryota; Viridiplantae; Streptophyta; Magnoliopsida; Poales; Bromeliaceae.
ACGAUGAUAAGAAACAACAAAAAAUCAAUUUCGUGGGGUUAUAGAGGAGAUUUAGAUGUUGAUUAGGGGAUAAAGGUGGAAUUUUUAAGGAAAAAAUAAGAUGGGAAAUAAUAUGAAGUGAAUUUGGAGUAGUUCUAGAUAGGAGUAUUGAUCUAUUUUUGAUAUGUUUUUUCUUGAAGAAAUUGCGGUUAAAAUUGUAUGAAAAUGAGGAUAAAAAAUAAUAUAAAAUGGGUCUUGGGGGAUUUAGAAAGGAUUUUUUUUUAUGUAAAUUUGCAAAUAAAAAUAAAAUUUUUCGAUGAAAAAUGAACUUUUGUUG